RNAcentral lists this ribosomal RNA (492 nucleotides) under uncultured bacterium. Its description in RNAcentral is "partial 16S ribosomal RNA". It matches the Rfam family "Bacterial small subunit ribosomal RNA", at positions 29 to 507 of the family's 1533-position model. The record is from RNAcentral.
AGUGAACGCUGGCGGUAGGCCUAACACAUGCAAGUCGAACGGCAGCACAGUAAGAGCUUGCUCUUACGGGUGGCGAGUGGCGGACGGGUGAGGAAUACAUCGGAAUCUACUUUUUCGUGGGGGAUAACGUAGGGAAACUUACGCUAAUACCGCAUACGACCUACGGGUGAAAGCAGGGGAUCUUCGGACCUUGCGCGAUUGAAUGAGCCGAUGUCGGAUUAGCUAGUUGGCGGGGUAAAGGCCCACCAAGGCGACGAUCCGUAGCUGGUCUGAGAGGAUGAUCAGCCACAUUGGAACUGAGACACGGUCCAGACUCCUACGGGAGGCAGCAGUGGGGAAUAUUGGACAAUGGGCGCAAGCCUGAUCCAGCCAUCCCGCGUGGGUGAAGAAGGCCUUCGGGUUGUAAAGCCCUUUUGUUGGGAAAGAAAAGCAGCAGGUUGAUACCCCGCUGUUCUGACGGUACCCAAAGAAUAAGCACCGGCUAACUUCGUG